CACGUAGGGUGCGAGCGUUGUCCGGAAUUAUUGGGCGUAAAGAGCUCGUAGGCGGUGUGUCGCGUCGGCCGUGAAAACCUGCAGCUUAACUGUGGGCUUGCGGUCGAUACGGGCAUCACUGGAGUUCGGCAGGGGAGACUGGAAUUCCUGGUGUAGCGGUGAAAUGCGCAGAUAUCAGGAGGAACAUCAAUGGCGAAGGCAGCUCGCUGGAACGGUACUGACGCUGAGGCGCGAAAGCGUGGGGAGCGAACAGG
This 254-nucleotide ribosomal RNA is filed under the name uncultured bacterium. RNAcentral's name for it is "partial 16S ribosomal RNA". It matches the Rfam family "Bacterial small subunit ribosomal RNA", at positions 524 to 776 of the family's 1533-position model. The record is from RNAcentral.